This is an RNA transcript of Solenopsis invicta (red fire ant), 814 nucleotides long. RefSeq lists it as uncharacterized. The transcript has 4 exons. Lineage: Eukaryota; Metazoa; Arthropoda; Insecta; Hymenoptera; Formicidae. The record is from RefSeq and is a predicted model, not a curated record.
ACGUAAUACAGUUAUUGUUAUGGAAAAGACCAAACUUGAAUAUAUUAGGCUUAUGUGUCAAAUGAAAAUGACUGGAGCAAUUUGUAAGCAGUAAGUAAAUUUUCCAAAAUUAAGUAGAAAGAUAUUGUUUGUUUUAACUAUUUGUUUAAUUACGUUUUCACGUUCUACGUUAUUUUUAUAUUUUAAAUCUUCCUAACUACAGGUCUAUUCUUGGAAGGAUUUUAUGAUAUUAUGCUUAAACGACCAAUUUUCAUAUUUAAUGAACAAGAACUUGAACUAUUGAUCGGUAGCUUGCUUACUGUAAAUAUCUUAAAGGAGGAUCUUAAAGCAAAUAUUGAGUAUCAUAAAUACACUGCUACAUCUUUAUAGAUUCAAUGGUUCUGGUGCAUUGCGAGGUUUUAAUCAAGCGGAUUGUUCGAAGUUCUUACAAUUUAUCACUGUUUCAAUCAACUGGAUUUGCCAGUGUACGAGACGUUUGAUAAACUCUGAACAAAUCUACUCAAGGCGACUUACGAAUGCACCAAAGAAUUUGGAUUUGCCCAGUGAUAACAUUCCGGACGUGCAAUGGCCUAUUGCUUGCAAAAUUUUUAACGUACUUACAAAAAUUGUUAUACGCAAUGCUAUAUGUAAGACUAUCUUGUGAACGUAGCGAAUCACAGUGCUCUAAUUGCUACAAUAUGUAUUAUUACACUUAUACGACUUUAUAAAUACGAAAUAUAUAUUUUCAUUUUAUCAUACACAUUAACUCUCAUGUAAUUAAUGGACAAUAAUUUAUUCGUUAAUAUAUACGCUAAUAAAAACGCUGAUUUUAAAA